Molecule: ribosomal RNA, 253 nt
Filed under: uncultured bacterium
Lineage: Bacteria
Description: partial 16S ribosomal RNA
Rfam family: Bacterial small subunit ribosomal RNA
Source: RNAcentral
UACGGAGGGUGCGAGCGUUACCCGGAUUUACUGGGCGUAAAGGGCGUGUAGGCGGUCUCUCAAGUCCGCUGCUAAAGACCGAGGCUCAACCUCGGGAGUGCGUUGGAUACUGUGAGGCUAGACGGCCGGAGAGGGCAGCGGAAUUCUCGGAGUAGCGGGGAAAUGCGCAGAUACCGAGAGGAACGCCAAUAGCGAAGGCAGCUGCCUGGACGAUCUGUGACGCUGGGGCGCGAAAGCGUGGGGAGCAAACCGG